Candoia aspera is the source of this 904-nucleotide RNA transcript. It is a transcript of the gene named FH2 domain-containing protein 1-like, with no coding region annotated. The transcript is spliced from 5 exons. The record is from RefSeq and is a predicted model, not a curated record. Lineage: Eukaryota; Metazoa; Chordata; Lepidosauria; Squamata; Candoiidae.
UCUUCCCUCUCCUAAUCAAACGUCUGUCUGUAAAAAGUUACCCCUGGUGGGUGUUUACUCCUGCCUUUUAGGUCUCCCUUUUGGAUGCCAAGAAAAUCCUGAACCUGGGGAUCUUCCUCAAGCAGUUUAAGAGGUGAGGGGGGAGGGCCCCCAGGCUUUGGUGUGGGACAGCCUGCAACGCCCACGCCAGCUGAGGAAGCUCUCCCCUCCCUAGGCCGGUGCAGGAAAUUGUGGCUGACAUCCGUAACGGGGCGGGAGUCCUUUACGGGGCGGAGAAGCUGCUGGAGCUCUUCAAGAUGCUUCCCGACAUGAAGGAGGUGGAGAAGCUGGAGGCCUUCCGGGGUGACCGGAGCCAUCUCUCAGAGGCCGAGGUCUUUGCGCUGCUGCUCAUCCAAGUGCCCAGGUGAGGGGCUGGGUGUGGGGGGUGUGGCUUGGGGGUGCCACUAGGCAGAGGAGAGCCCAUCCCACCUGCCCCUCUUCUUGCCAUCCAGUUAUUCCCGGCGCCUGGAGCUCCUUGUGCUGAAGCUGCAGCUGUUCCCCCAGCUCGGUGCCCUGCAGUCGGCCAUCCGGGUCCUGACAGAGGCGGCAUUAGAGUUGCUGGGCUGCGAAGAGCUGCAUGACCUCAUUCGGCUGGUACUGAAGAUGGGGAACUACAUGAAUGAGGGAGGCUACGCUGGGUCUGCGUUCGGCUUCCACAUGUCAUCCUUGCUGAGGUUGGUGGACACAAAGGGCAACCAGCCUGGCACGGACCUCCUGCAUUUUGUGGCCUUGCAGGCUGAGAGGAAGGACCCCAGCCUUCUGCACUUUCCCUGCAAACUCCAGCAUGUGGCAUCUGCCUCACGGUAAGGAAGGCAGCAGAGGGAGACUCCCAGGGUGGUGGGAAGAGCAGGCCGGGGUGGUAGGG